GGGGCCAUAGCUCAGCUGGGAGAGCGCUUGAAUGGCAUUCAAGAGGUCGUGAGUUCGAUCCUCAUUGGCUCCACCA
RNAcentral lists this transfer RNA (76 nucleotides) under Bacillota bacterium. Its description in RNAcentral is "Firmicutes bacterium (anaerobic digester metagenome) tRNA-Ala". It matches the Rfam family "tRNA". From Rfam's summary of the family: Transfer RNA (tRNA) molecules are approximately 80 nucleotides in length. Their secondary structure includes four short double-helical elements and three loops (D, anti-codon, and T loops). RNAcentral also lists the same sequence under 1 other name. The record is from RNAcentral. Lineage: Bacteria; Bacillati; Bacillota.